AGAACUUAGCAGAGAUGCUUUGGUGCCUUCGGGAACUCUGAGACAGGUGCUGCAUGGCUGUCGUCAGCUCGUGUUGUGAAAUGUUGGGUUAAGUCCCGCAACGAGCGCAACCCUUAUCCUUUGUUGCCAGCGGUCCGGCCGGGAGCUCAAAGGAGACUGCCAGUGAUAAACUGGAGGAAGGUGGGGAUGACGUCAAGUCAUCAUGGCCCUUACGAGUAGGGCUACACACGUGCUACAAUGGCGCAUACAAAGAGAAGCGACCUCGCGAGAGCAAGCGGACCUCAUAAAGUGCGUCGUAGUCCGGAUUGGAGUCUGCAACUCGACUCCAUGAAGUCGGAAUCGCUAGUAAUCGUAGAUCAGAAUGCUACGGUGAAUACGUUCCCGGGCCUUGUACACGCCGCCCGUCACACCAUGGGAGUGGGUUGCAAAAGAAGUAGGUAGCUUAACCUUCGGGAGGGCGCUUACCACUUUGUGAUUCAUGACUGGGGUGAAGUCGUAACAAGGUAAGCGUAGCGAG
RNAcentral lists this ribosomal RNA (517 nucleotides) under uncultured bacterium. RNAcentral describes it as "bacterial SSU rRNA". It matches the Rfam family "Bacterial small subunit ribosomal RNA", at positions 992 to 1509 of the family's 1533-position model. The record is from RNAcentral.